AACGUGCUCCGGGGUCGGUGUGAAUCCGAACCGGCGGUGACAGUCCGCGAGCGUCUCGGUUCUCCGAGAUGCCGAUCCGGUGGAAAUCCGGAACCGACGGUGAUGCGAGAGCGAUCUCGCUAGUCCGGAAGGGAGGCAGCACGGU
RNAcentral lists this non-coding RNA (145 nucleotides) under Microbacterium sp. Its description in RNAcentral is "FMN sequence". It matches the Rfam family "FMN riboswitch aptamer (RFN element)". Rfam says of the family: The RFN element is a highly conserved domain that is found frequently in the 5'-untranslated regions of prokaryotic mRNAs that encode for flavin mononucleotide (FMN) biosynthesis and transport proteins. This element is a metabolite-dependent riboswitch that directly binds FMN in the absence of proteins. Lineage: Bacteria; Bacillati; Actinomycetota; Actinomycetes; Micrococcales; Microbacteriaceae. The record is from RNAcentral.